GCCGGCAGCCAUAUCACCCUGUAGCCCAAGACUGGUUGCCCACUGAAGCUAAGCAGGGUUGAGCCUGGUCAGUACAUGGAUGGGAGACCUCUUGGGAAAACUAGGUUGCUGUUGGAA
This 117-nucleotide ribosomal RNA is filed under the name Sinocyclocheilus rhinocerous. Lineage: Eukaryota; Metazoa; Chordata; Actinopteri; Cypriniformes; Cyprinidae. The record is from RNAcentral.